This 435-nucleotide ribosomal RNA is filed under the name uncultured bacterium. RNAcentral's name for it is "bacterial SSU rRNA". It matches the Rfam family "Bacterial small subunit ribosomal RNA", at positions 355 to 786 of the family's 1533-position model. The record is from RNAcentral.
UGAGGAAUAUUGGUCAAUGGGCGGGAGCCUGAACCAGCCAAGUCGCGUGAGGGAAGACGGUCCUAUGGAUUGUAAACCUCUUUUGUCGGGGAGCAAAGAGGCCACGUGUGGUCAAAAGCGAGAGUACCCGAAGAAAAAGCAUCGGCUAACUCCGUGCCAGCAGCCGCGGUAAUACGGAGGAUGCGAGCGUUAUCCGGAUUUAUUGGGUUUAAAGGGUGCGUAGGCGGGACGGUAAGUCAGCGGUAAAAAAUGCGGAGCUCAACUCCGUCGAGCCGUUGAAACUGCCGUUCUUGAGUGAGCGAGAAGUAUGCGGAAUGCGUGGUGUAGCGGUGAAAUGCAUAGAUAUCACGCAGAACUCCGAUUGCGAAGGCAGCAUACCGGCGCUCAACUGACGCUGAAGCACGAAGGCGUGGGUAUCGAACAGGAUUAGAUACC